GGGGAAGGGUGGUAGCUCAGCGGCAGAGCAUCUGCUUUGCAUGCAAAAGGUCCCAGAUUCAAUCCCCAGCAUCCCCA
Molecule: non-coding RNA, 77 nt
Organism: Podarcis lilfordi (Lilford's wall lizard)
Lineage: Eukaryota; Metazoa; Chordata; Lepidosauria; Squamata; Lacertidae
Source: the annotation of a GenBank genome assembly